RNAcentral lists this ribosomal RNA (474 nucleotides) under Ophiotreta sp. 3 WC-2020. RNAcentral describes it as "partial large subunit ribosomal RNA". It matches the Rfam family "Bacterial large subunit ribosomal RNA", at positions 1917 to 2615 of the family's 2925-position model. The record is from RNAcentral. Lineage: Eukaryota; Metazoa; Echinodermata; Ophiuroidea; Amphilepidida; Ophiacanthidae.
UCGCGGUUAAACGGCUGCAGUACUCUGACUGUGCAAAGGUAGCAUAAUCAUUAGCCUGGUAAUUCCAGGCUGGCAUCAACGGCUGGACGAGGGGGAAACUGUCUCUUCUUAUUUAAUUUUAAAUUAGUUUUAAGGUGAAGAGACCUUAAUACAGCAGUGGGACGAGAAGACCCUAUUGAGCUUUAACCCAUUAAUAAUGGUUAGUAUACUUAUUAAUGGGUUUGGGUUGGGGCAACUCUUCUUCUAAUAAAACAAGGGUUAAACACUUCUAAUUAAAUAAAUAAUCAAAAGACCCAAAAUUAUUUUGGUAAUAAGAAAAAGUUACCUUAGGGAUAACAGCGUAAUUUCUCUUGAGAGUCCACAUUGACAGGGAAGUUUGCGACCUCGAUGUUGGAUCAAGUUUUCCUGGGGGUGCAGCAGCUUCCAAGGGUUGGUUUGUUCAACCAUAAAAAUCUUACGUGAUCUGAGUUCAGA